Molecule: ribosomal RNA, 253 nt
Filed under: uncultured bacterium
Lineage: Bacteria
Description: partial 16S ribosomal RNA
Rfam family: Bacterial small subunit ribosomal RNA
Source: RNAcentral
UACGAAGGGGGCUAGCGUUGUUCGGAUUCAUUGGGCGUAAAGGGUGCGUAGGCGGCGCGGUAAGUCGGGUGUGAAAUCUCGGAGCUUAACUCCGAAACUGCAUUCGAUACUGCCGUGCUUGAGGACUGGAGAGGAGACUGGAAUUUACGGUGUAGCGGUGAAAUGCGUAGAUAUCGUAAGGAAGACCAGUGGCGAAGGCGGGUCUCUGGACAGUUCCUGACGCUGAGGCACGAAGGCCAGGGGAGCAAACGGG